Long non-coding RNA from Suricata suricatta (meerkat), 272 nucleotides. RefSeq lists it as uncharacterized. Lineage: Eukaryota; Metazoa; Chordata; Mammalia; Carnivora; Herpestidae. The record is from RefSeq and is a predicted model, not a curated record. The transcript has 3 exons.
CGUGUGCGCGUGCGCGGGCAGUGCGGGCUGGCGGCGCGCUUCCCGCGGGGCGUCGGUGGCGCGAGGUCGCUGCCCAGGCGUGGGCUUUGUUAAACGCCGGACCCGAGCGGGAAAAGGAAACUGAAAAGUGAAUCUGAUCCCGGACUAGGCGGAGUCCAGUUCCAGGAAACGGAAACUUCUGCGAGAGCUAUUGUACUUUUACAAUUCUCUUCAGUUUUCCAAGAGCAACAGGAAGUGACCAAAUCACAGCUCAGAGCAUGGAGCCUGCUUCA